This 4333-nucleotide long non-coding RNA is filed under the name Brassica rapa (field mustard). RNAcentral's name for it is "long non-coding RNA (BRAP_LNC001377)". Lineage: Eukaryota; Viridiplantae; Streptophyta; Magnoliopsida; Brassicales; Brassicaceae. The record is from RNAcentral.
UGGGUGUGACGGUAUUUCAAAGAAGGUUAUGCGCUCGUCUCUCGGGACCAGUAACGGGACACGUAGGGUUAUCUAAAUGAGUAGACACGUGUCCAUAAUGCCCCUUCGAUAACCCCGGUCGGACGCCGGGGGAUCGGGCUGUUACAAUUGGUAUCAGAGCGGGUUAAGAUCCCUUAGUUCUGUCCUAAGGGAUCAGCAUUUCCGACGUUUUAAAAAAAAAAAAAAAUCGUUUUCGAAAAAAAAAAAAAAAAAAAAAAUUAUUUCGUUAUUACUAAGUGUUUUCGGAUUGUGAAAGAUUAUUUGAAAAUCCCACGAUAUCCAUACUUCUAUUAUGGUUCUGAUUGAAAUUUUAUUGCAGGAUGUUUUCGCUUGACCAUUACGAGUGGAGGAUGCCGCGUAUGCACUACGGACGGAGGAACACCAGGGAGUAUGCCCAAAGGCGUCACUAUGACAUGGAGGGUAGCUUGGUGCUACCCAUGUUUCCGGAUCCUGAAGAGCAGUACAGGGAGUUUCCAUUCAGGUACCCGCACGAGUAGACUGUGAGGCAUAAGGUGUUGAUGCCACAUUUCCAGAGGAUGGCUAUGGAGGAACGUCUACUGCAGGGCAAUGCGAGGUUCCAGCUUGCAACCGAAGAGGGGCCCCCGAGGAAGCGUGGCCGUCCAUGCAAGCCGCAAAGUGCAGUAGGGGGACCCCCAAGGGUGUUCACCGGGAAGUGCCAGUGUGGAGUGCUGAUCAAGAAUGCUCAGGAGGACCGAUCAGUCGCUGGAUACACCGAGGACUUCAUCAACCAAGCCAAGCUGUGAAAACCGAAGAAUGCAGAGACGUGGUGCGUAUGGUAUAAGAACGGGCUUCGUAAGGAACUCCAGGCGCAGUUGAGGGGUGUUUUGGAGCCCCUGGAGUUCGCGCUAGUGAGGCGGAUGGCAGGCUUCGCCAUGGAGGCAGAAGAGAAGAUUGCAGCCGAUGUGGCCGCUCUCUCGAGCAUGGAAGGAGGAAACCCGGGUAGGGACGUCGAUGGUCAUGAGGUGCCGGUCGGGGAACUCGCUAAGGGAAAGCGGGGGCGUCCGCGAAAACCUCUUACAGUGACAUGUGAUUGUGACGUACUGGUCCAGAUGGUUCAGAAGCCACGCAAGGUGAGAGAUUACCUGGAGGAGUUCUUGGAUACAGCCAAGAGGUGCCAACCGAAGCCAGCCGAGGAGUGGUGUCAUCUGUUUAAGGCUGGACUACGUGGAGAUAUUCGUGAAGAGCUCGUUGGAGUUCUGGAGCCUCUGGAAUUUGCAUUGGUGAGAAGGAUGGCCAACCAAGCACUGCACGCGGAGGAGUGGUUGGCGGAAAGUGAGGCGGAGGCCGAGUAUGAUCGCGUCGCAGAGGGCGAUGAAGACCUUGGAUCCGAGACCCGCUGCCCCUCGCCAUGUCAAUGUGGCUAGACGAGAUACUAGGGACGAUUCGUAGGAGUAGGACACGUGUUUCGCUAUUGGUUUUAUUUCAUUUAUUGGUUAUUGGAGUUGGUGUUCUUUCCAUUCGUUACGGCAUUCUGUGUUUUGUGCAGAUGUGCUGGGUUUUCUCUUACAAACUAUUGUAGUCCUACUCCUUUUAUUUAUGACAUUCAUUCGUUGGUUUUAAAGAUUCCAGUAGAGUUAUCAUGCUUUGUAUGCCUCCCUUGAUUGUUGUGUGAAUGUGUGAAUUCAUUUCGGUAACGAACGAUUGGUCUGAAAGAUGUGGGCUUUGGAAUUCGGGGACGAAUUCCGAUUAACGGGGGAGGAUUGUAACGGCCCGGUUCCUGGCCCAUAAAAUUUCCCAAAGAAUAUGGGCUUCUCUACGGCCCAUUUGGCAAAAACCUAGGGCUUCCCUUCCCCUCUCCUUUAAAAAGAGAUGCAGCCUCCCUUUUUGCCUCAUCACAAAUCUGAAGCGAAGCUCUGCAGAGAACUCCCGGAGGCCGAAAACCCUAGCCGUCGAGCUCUCUCCCCUUCUCUCCUGCGCCGCCUCUCUCUCUUCUCUCUCUCUCCCGCGCGUCGCUCUCUCUCUCCUUGCCGUCACCCUCUCUCUCUCCUCGCCGUCGCACGCUCUCUCUCUCUCUCCCUCUCGCCGGCGCCGUGAAAUGGUGGUGGUGACCAGAUCUCAACCUUCUUAAAUCCUUGUUUCCAGAUCCAGAUCCAGAUCUAGACUAAGGUGGAGUGUCUCGAACCCAACUUUCUCUCAUGAUUCUGUAUACUCCUUUAUGUUGGAGUUAGGUUGUUUAGACCCUGUUUGAGAGUUAGGAUGAUAGAACAGGAUAACUGCUAGGAUGAUAGAUGAGUGAAUCAUGAUGCAUAAGAACCUCAUACUGUUAACGGGACUUGAUGAACUGAUCUAUGUUGUGGUUGAUGAGUGAUGCUUGUAUGUUUGGAUGUUUAGUCCCAUGUAUGGUUUGUGAAUAAAGCUAGGGUGCUAGAAAGAAUGAAUGCUAAGAUGAUAGAUGACUACUAAUUGCUAUUGAUAUGGUAAGUGAAACUUGAGUGCAAUGUGUAUUGUGUGUGACACCGAUAACGGGUGGCGUCUAGUGAGUGAGUCCAAGUACAAGUCUAAGUGAAAAGGGAAAGUAAAUGAAAAAUGGGAAGGGAUAAGUGUAAAUGAUAAGGAUGUGAAAGGAUAAGUGAAAGUAUAGAAGAAUAACGUAAAGGUUAAGCAUGGGUGGGAUCAUAUAGAGAGUCUAAGGAAAGUAAGUGGGGUAGUAGUCCACGCUAGGCUACCCAUAGGAGAUGUGGCCAAUCCACAUGAAUAUGGGGUAGUAGUCUAGUUGGGGUUACCCACUGAUGAAAAGGAUGAAAAGAUGAAAAGGAUGAAAAGAGGAAAAGGAUGAAAAGAUGAAAAAGAUGUGCAUUGUAGGGUUUUUAGAUCAUGGUCGGGUAACAGGGAGUUAAAGGUGUCAUAGGAUUGAGUUGGAAUGGGAAGAUGAGUCGGUUGAAGUCUAGGGUUUGACGUGUGUGGCAAUGAGUGAGAUCAUUGUAUUGAUUGAUCACUAGGUUGUUAGAAAUGAAUGGAAGUGAAUGUGGAAAUUACAGAUGACGAUAGGAAAUGAUAAAAAUGCAUUAACUGAUUGUAGUGGCUAGUCAGUCCUAGUUCCCGCAUAGAGUAGUAUAGAGUGUCAUGCGGGCAGGCUGGUCUAGAACCACUUCACUGAGUAACUUGUUGCUCACCCCUCCAUUUCCAUUUUUUCCCUGUGCGCAGGACUGUAAGUAGAAGUAUAUGGAUGUGGGUGUGACGGUUUUUCAAAGAAGGUUAUGCGCUCGUCUCUCGGGACCAGUAACGGGACACGUAGGGUUGUCUAAAUGAGUAGACACGUGUCCAUAACGCCCCUUCGAUAACCCCGGUCGGACGCCGGGGGAUCGGGCUGUUACAAUUGGUAUCAGAGCGGGUUAAGAUCCCUUAGUUCUGUCCUAAGGGAUCAGCAUUUCCGACGUUUUAAAAAAAAAAAAAAUCGUUUUCGAAAAAAAAAAAAAAAAAAUUAUUUCGUUAUUACUAAGUGUUUUCGGAUUGUGAAAGAUUAUUUGAAAAUCCCACGAUAUCCAUACUUCUAUUAUGGUUCUGAUUGAAAUUUUAUUGCAGGAUGUUUUCGCUUGACCAUUACGAGUGGAGGAUGCCGCGUAUGCACUACGGACGGAGGAACACCAGGGAGUAUGCCCAAAGGCGUCACUAUGACAUGGAGGGUAACUUGGUGCUACCCAUGUUUCCGGAUCCUGAAGAGCAGUACAGGGAGUUUCCAUUCAGGUACCCGCACGAGCAGACUGUGAGGCAUAAGGUGUUGAUGCCACAUUUCCAGAGGAUGGCUAUGGAGGAACGUCUACUGCAGGGCAAUGCGAGGUUCCAGCUUGCAACCGAAGAGGGGCCCCCGAGGAAGCGUGGCCGUCCAUGCAAGCCGCCAAGUGCAGUAGGGGGACCCCCAAGGGUGUUCACCGGAAAGUGCCAGUGUGGAGUGCUGAUCAAGAAUGCUCAGGAGGACCGAUCAGUCGCUGGAUACACCGAGGACUUCAUCAACCAAGCCAAGCUGUGAAAACCGAAGAAUGCAGAGACGUGGUGCAUAUGGUAUAAGAACGGGCUUCGUAAGGAACUCCAGGCGCAGUUGAGGGGUGUUUUGGAGCCCCUGGAGUUCGCGCUAGUGAGGCGGAUGGCAGGCUUCGCCAUGGAGGCAGAAGAGAAGAUUGCAGCCGAUGUGGCCGCUCUCUCGAGCAUGGAAGGAGGAAACCCGGGUAAGGACGUCGAUGGUCAUGAGGUGCCGGUCGGGGAACUCGCUAAGGGAAAGCGGGGGCGUCCACGAAAACCUCUUACAGUGACAUGUGAUUGUGACGUACUGGUCCAG